Populus trichocarpa (black cottonwood) is the source of this 958-nucleotide long non-coding RNA. RefSeq lists it as uncharacterized. Lineage: Eukaryota; Viridiplantae; Streptophyta; Magnoliopsida; Malpighiales; Salicaceae. The record is from RefSeq and is a predicted model, not a curated record. The transcript is spliced from 2 exons.
CACACGACCCGCUUCUUUAAAGAACCCGCAUAUCCGCCGUCUCGUUUCCCCGUCUCUCUCUAUAAAAGAAGGUCGCUCCUCUACCAGUCUCUCUUCAAAGCAUCUCUUCAGCGACAUCUCAUUAGUGUUCGUGCUCUUCUCCCUCUUUCUGUACUGCCGAGCUUAUUUGCAGUCAGUUGAUAGCACUAUUUUCCGUUGAAAAAUGACGCGGUGAAGAAAUUUUAAGAUCGAUGCAACGAUUUUUAAUCGUUAUAGAUAUGCGAGAACUUUGGCCGUGAAUUGUUCGUUCAAUUUUAAAAAUAAAUAUGAAGAUCGGAUAUUCGAAAAGUUGGAUUGAAACUGAACGUAAAUCAGUUGAUGUGAUAUAAUUUUGCAGCUUGAAUUUUUUUUGCGAAGUUCAGAAUCUCCAUAUCGGAAUUCGACAAUAAAUCUUCCUGCCACGCCAGUGUUUUUCAGCCAGCUUCCUGUGGAAUAGAAUCAAUCUUGUAGUGUUUUCUAUGAUUAAUCUUUUGCUUGGAAGCUGAUUGCAAAUUUCAUUUGAAGCUGAUUUGCUACCUUAUGGCUCAUCAACCAGCACGCAUGCAGAAUGAAACUGUUACUUCAGGAGUUGCUGCAAUUGAAGGCUUGCAGAGGAUAUAAAUCUGGGGUAUCAGUUGAUGUAAGAAAUUAAAAAUGCUGCCGUAAAUUCAGUAAUAAAAUGACAACUAGAACUUUCUUAAGCUGUGAUUCUCCGGAGGUUGUGAUUCAGUAAUAAAAUGACGACUAGAAUUUUUAAAAAAUUGGAAGCAUGUAAAAAACUAUAAAUAAACACUGCUAAAGUUGAGACCAUUAUGUACUAUAUAGUUUUCAAUCUUGACACGGCCUGUAGAAUUGAUUUGGAACCUGAGAAGGCCCGGUUAGGAGUAGGCAAAAUUUAGACUUGUAAUUAGCCCAAUGAAAUUUUUAUGUAUGGAACAAA